UACGUAGGGGGCAAGCGUUGUCCGGAUUUAUUGGGCGUAAAGAGCGUGUAGGCGGCCAGGUAGGUCUGCUGUGAAAACUCGAGGCUUAACCUCGAGAUGUCGGCGGAAACCAUCUGGCUAGAGUCCGGAAGAGGAGAGUGGAAUUCCUGGUGUAGCGGUGAAAUGCGCAGAUAUCAGGAAGAACACCCGUGGCGAAGGCGGCUCUCUGGGACGGUACUGACGCUGAGACGCGAAAGCGUGGGGAGCGAACAGG
RNAcentral lists this ribosomal RNA (253 nucleotides) under uncultured bacterium. RNAcentral's name for it is "partial 16S ribosomal RNA". It matches the Rfam family "Bacterial small subunit ribosomal RNA", at positions 524 to 776 of the family's 1533-position model. The record is from RNAcentral.